RNAcentral lists this long non-coding RNA (4115 nucleotides) under Orbicella faveolata. RNAcentral's name for it is "uncharacterized LOC110069337". Lineage: Eukaryota; Metazoa; Cnidaria; Anthozoa; Scleractinia; Merulinidae. The record is from RNAcentral.
ACGAACCUGCCCGAGGACAUCACGUUGCAGAUCGGUAUGGGAACUUAAAAAACAUCGUUUUGAAAAGUCAACUCCCGAGCACUUCUGCCGGAGGCAGUCUUGCUGAAGUUUUCGUAAGAUGUUGAAGACAAGAGCGUGUCAAUUCAUGUUAUACUGACUGGCGUUUCAAAGUUCCGUUUUAGGUUGGAGUAGAACGUGACUUCGAUAUCGUUUUAGUAAAAGUAAAGUUUUGUGGCUUGAAACGUAAGAAGUUUCCCAAAUCCGCCUUUUUCAUCGUAUAUGUGGGAAGUUAGGUUCCUAGACACGUUUAUGGUACUGGAUGGUCAUAGCAAUACAGUGGAACCCAUCGAUUUUUCGAACCUACCGAUAACUCGAACCACUGGAAAGUCGCUUCCCUCGGCUUCAGUCGAACACUUUGAUUUUACCAAGGAUUUCUCUAAACUACCCCGUUUCUCAAACCAAUUUUCGUUUCCCUUGGAGGUUCAAAAAAUCGGGAUUCCUCUGUACUCUAACAUCAUGCAGCCUAAGUGUUUUCAACGGAACCUAAAGAUGGCGGACCACGCAUCGACACAUUUCAUAUGUAACAGGGCGUAGUAUAUUUUUAAAGCUCCAGUUGUGGAAGGGUGUUUAUGUAUACCACACACUCAACAAAGGAGGGUUUUUAAUAGGUAUGUUAGCUGUCAUUACACUAAUUUACUCUUUUUAGCCAUCUUAUCGCAAUAUUUUUAAAGCGGGUGGGACUGACUGCGUGGGUGUGCUUCGGAAUGAAUCGCUCGAAAGUUGUAGCUGGAAAUCAACGGUGUAGCUACAACAUUGACUGUUAAUUAGCCGGUGUGUUUUGAAAGUCAAUAAAAAUUGAAUAGGUUGAGAAUUUCUGUCGAACAUUUUCUUUUCUUAAUAACUAUUAACUUGCGCCUACAUGCAUGCAUUGGUGAGCAAGGAAGGAAUUUCUAUGCCGUAACUCCGAGUCAAGACCUUCCCAACUUCUAACUAAGCACUAGAAAAUUUGAAAAUAAUGUUUAUUUCGCAGAUUCUAAGAAACCUGAAAACAAAAGUAGGAAUUGCUACCCUGUAGGUUCUAUUUGAAUAACCACACACCAGGUUUCACCUUGGAACUACAACGGAAAGUUUGACUCUACCCGAGCGUUGAAGUCAAUGUAACAUUUAUAUUCACAAAGGCUUCCAGUUAUUGCCAAUGUUAACGAAACGCCGUUACCAGACAACGCACGUCAGUAGGAAUUAGGCAAAACUUGAACAUCUCUAUAAGUUUCAAUUGCUGCGAAAUCGCAACCAUUGUGUUGCAGGGAUGACUGAAACAUUUAGAUUUAAUAGCAUACAGGAACAAGACUGAACCUAACGUUUGUUGUUGUUCUUGCUAAAAAUACAGUAAUUUUAGAACCAUUUUCGAUCUUGGUUACCGUUUCUUUGUACGCCUGAUUCUGCUAAACCUUGAAAAAAAUUCGUAGUUCUGGAGAUCGCGUACCAAGGGCAAAAUUUAAUCGAUGCCAGUACUCAGUCUGGAUUACGUGUGACACUUCUUAACCCUUCAAAUACUAGUCAUGCCUGCAUGCGAACGUUAUUAUCAUAAAACAGCUAGAACUUUGUGUUUGAAUCGUGAUAAUUCCGUCCUUCCGUAGGCUGAAUAUAAAUGAAAGUCAGUCAAAGUUAAAUCAACAAAGGUAACUUGAUGUGUCUUCUCUAUCGCUGAGUGAUUCGUCCAGGACGGCAGACAGAACUAAAGUUUGAUCAAACUUUAUCUACGGUAAUUCAAAAUUCCAUGAAAGAUUUUCCAAAGAUACGAAACAGUUUGUCAAGAACUUUUCGGCCAAAUAACUCAUAAGCGCCAUUACGUAAUGUUAAUAUUUUUCGUUGGUGUGUCUAACAAGUAUAGUAUCUCUCAUGUUAAAUCUUAAGAUCCUCCUCUCCAAGACAGUAUGGCGGACGUAGACAACAGCCUGCAACUAGCUCUUGAAAGUCACAAGUUUAAACUUCACCCUAAAAAUACUUUCAACAGCCGCCAAAAUAAACUUUGUUGCGUGAUGAAAUUGGCAAAACAGGAAGAAGUUAUCCUCGUGUUUUAACUUGUUUUCAUGACAACUGCGAGGAUAUAAACUCAUCUAUCGCCACUCAAAUUUUACUGCAACGAAUUUGUAAGAUUUUAUCACAGUUAGCGUGAUAGAGUGCAGGAUUUUGUUCAGAAAAAAAAACCAUUGCCAAAAAAUCAGUGUGCUUUAUUUUCCCUCUUGGUCCCAUGCCAAUCAUUUUCUUAGAGCUUCAGAGCUGAAACGGAACUUGUCAAAAAUAAAGAAAUGACCUUUCAGUUCUGAACAAAUUUGACGAACAAUAUUAAGAGAAUCCCGGAAAAAUAUAGUUCAGAAACCUUACUAAUGAACGGCUUAUGAGCUACUUGGGUUUUUGCCACUUAUAUCAAAAAUUCCGCUAUUUAUUUUAACGUGUCAAGCUGUUUUAACGUUAUUUCUGCAACCUGAAAUGAAUUAAGAGAAGAUGAUUUUUUCAGGGCUACAAAAACAACUCUCGAUAAGUCGCCCAUGCGUGCCGCCCUUCUUUUAGCAAAGAAUGCGCGCAAUUAGGCCAGAUACGCCUGGAAUCCUUGGCAAGGUUAUAAACAACUUAAUUCGACGCCUUUUAUUCGAAAGCAUAGCGUAAUUGGCAUUUCUCUUGGGGGUGAGGCGAGUUUUGCCAGGGCGGUAAGCGACACUUGGUCUCUCGUGUCAAGUGCGGGGUUGUUUACGAAAGUUUAUAGGCACGUACGCGGAUUUUGAACAAACACGAUUUUGUUCCACUUUUAUUCCACUCCGGGGGAGUGAACUUUAAUAUUCUUGCAGCGAAAGUAGUGAGUAAAAAUCUCCCUCUGCCUUCCUGUCAGACUUCCAUUUAUUGAAGUAACGCAUUCUAUUUGUGACUUUUUAAUUAGAGUCUGCUUGCUGUUAGGGGGUUUCUGUUUAUAAACCUUCAGGGGACAAAAACUUCUCUCCCUCUCCUGUUCGCAUUCUGUCUCUCCCCCCGUUUAACAUUCAGUUGUUAUAUUUGCCUAUAUCUUUUAAUUGGCGGUUAGGUCUGUACUUAAAAUCUCCCACAAAAUCAUAAGCUGAUUUGUCCCUUGUCCAGUCUAUACAUAAUGCAAUUUAGCAGAUUUGUUUUCAGCCAAAACAACCAAGCUCGUUGACCGUCUGUGAAAGGUUUGAUUGGUGUUGAAAAGGGCGCACGUGGUUGAACACGCACUGACAUUAUUUAUUACGUCGCUCAAUUCUCCAGAAAAAAAAAAAAACUGCUAACAGCGAAGAUUCGGACAUGCCCCGGCAGAAACUCGCUUACGCUAGCUUAAGUCAUGUAUUUCCGGAGAAGAUGUGUCCAAAAAAACGAAUAAUAUUAAAUAACAAUAAUGAUAAUAACAAAUAAAAAAAGAAUAAAAACACAGAAUUGAUCUCCCAGCUCGAGUUAAGUCACUAUUACGUAAGCAAGUUAAUUUAGAUGCAGAAUCCAGUUAAGUCCUUGUUCAACACUUCCAAACAUACCACAACACUCUUGAAAGUUCACGAACUCUUAAGACCCAAGUCACGUUUUCUUGUCGCGUUGAAAUAGUUGUUUUCCUUUCUCGUUUGGAAUGACAACAAUGACGGUCGCAUGUAAAUUCUAAGCACCUUAUUUUAAUACCACCCGGAGAAGGUCAAUGUUAGAACGUAGUUGGCAUUUUUCAACAUUGUCUUCUUUUUGUCGAAUUGGCGGUAUGUUUUAUAUUAAAUCACGCGUAUUUCAGGGCCAGAGAUAACAGAACUUCCGUGCUCCCGUAACGAACAAUUUAACAUGGCUUGACGCCCAGCUGAGGGCGCAUAAUAAUAGCUCUCUUUGUUGUGAUCGGUGUUGCUACUUGGAGAGAUUAAGAUUUAACACUGAAGAUCACGCACGUCUUAAACAGGCUUUAAAUCUUCUUAUACACCGAAAGACAGCUAUAGAAUGCUCAUCUAAUCGGAGAGUAAACAUUUUACUGCCUAACUUUGGUGGUGUCGUUAACGGCAGUCAAGGACAACUUCGUCGUAUCGUCUGUAAAUACAACUUUAAUGAAUCCUCGAAUAAAGUCGAGAAUGAAGCUUUUG